CUUGAAUAUACAACAAAUUUUGAAUCUCAUCAAGUACAAAAAUAUUUAACGUGUAACCAAAAUAUGCUCAUGAAAUCGAAAUUAAUAGCUAAAUUUUCAAACUAGACCCUUCUCGAACCGGUUUUCAUGAAGGAAGUUCACAUUUCGGCCUUUGAUUCUUGGCAAAAAUUUGACCACAACACGUGCGAAGCAACUGGGUCUCAAAGACUCAGCUAAAACAUUGUGAGCCCCUAUUUUCCCGACGAUAUGUUUGAUACCUACAAACGCCGAAAAGCUUUUUCUUUUCAUUUAGCUAUAUUUGAAAUUGAGGCCACGGGAUAUUUUUGAGAAAAUACAGUUCAAAGUCAAGCUAUUUUUACAUAUUUUCAAAAUUUGUCAAAUUUCGCGAGCUUGUAUUUUGAACUUAGACAGCUGAAGUUACAUUAAGAAACAUAGGAUGGAAGAUUUGAG
RNAcentral lists this long non-coding RNA (450 nucleotides) under Paramuricea clavata. Lineage: Eukaryota; Metazoa; Cnidaria; Anthozoa; Malacalcyonacea; Plexauridae. The record is from RNAcentral.